Molecule: transfer RNA, 72 nt
Filed under: Camelus bactrianus (Bactrian camel)
Lineage: Eukaryota; Metazoa; Chordata; Mammalia; Artiodactyla; Camelidae
Also listed under: 3 other names
Rfam family: tRNA
About the family: Transfer RNA (tRNA) molecules are approximately 80 nucleotides in length. Their secondary structure includes four short double-helical elements and three loops (D, anti-codon, and T loops).
Source: Rfam by way of RNAcentral
GUGGGUAUAGCUCAGUGGGAGAGCAUGUGAUUAGCAUGCACGAGGUCCUGAGUUCAAUCCCCAGUACCUCCA